RNAcentral lists this ribosomal RNA (116 nucleotides) under Mytilus galloprovincialis (Mediterranean mussel). The record is from RNAcentral. Lineage: Eukaryota; Metazoa; Mollusca; Bivalvia; Mytilida; Mytilidae.
GUCUACGACAUAUCACGUUGAAAACACGGUUCUCGUCCGAAUCACGAAGUUAAGCAACGUUCGAGCCGCGUUAGUACUGAUGGUGACAGCCUGGGAAUACCGGAGUGGUGUAGAAC